This 492-nucleotide ribosomal RNA is filed under the name uncultured bacterium. RNAcentral's name for it is "partial 16S ribosomal RNA". It matches the Rfam family "Bacterial small subunit ribosomal RNA", at positions 29 to 507 of the family's 1533-position model. The record is from RNAcentral.
AGUGAGCGCUGGCGGUAGGCCUAACACAUGCAAGUCGAUCGGCAGCACAGUAAGAGCUUGCUCUUACGGGUGGCGAGUGGCGGACGGGUGAGGAAUACAUCGGAAUCUACUUUUUCGUGGGGGAUAACGUAGGGAAACUUACGCUAAUACCGCAUACGACCUACGGGUGAAAGCAGGGGAUCUUCGGACCUUGCGCGAUUGAAUGAGCCGAUGUCGGAUUAGCUAGUUGGCGGGGUAAAGGCCCACCAAGGCGACGAUCCGUAGCUGGUCUGAGAGGAUGAUCAGCCACACUGGAACUGAGACACGGUCCAGACUCCUACGGGAGGCAGCAGUGGGGAAUAUUGGACAAUGGGCGCAAGCCUGAUCCAGCCAUACCGCGUGGGUGAAGAAGGCCUUCGGGUUGUAAAGCCCUUUUGUUGGGAAAGAAAAGCAGCAGGUUAAUACCCCGCUGUUCUGACGGUACCCAAAGAAUAAGCACCGGCUAACUUCGUG